UACGUAGGGGGCUAGCGUUGUCCGGAAUCAUUGGGCGUAAAGAGCGCGUAGGCGGCCAGAUAAGUCCGGUGUGAAAGUCACAGGCUCAACCUGUGAAUGCCGCUGGAAACUGUCUGGCUAGAGUCCGGGAGGGGCGAGUGGAAUUCCAGGUGUAGCGGUGAAAUGCGUAGAUAUCUGGAGGAACACCGGUGGCGAAGGCGACAUCCUGGACCGGUAUUGACGCUGAGGCGCGAAAGCCAGGGGAGCAAACGGG
RNAcentral lists this ribosomal RNA (253 nucleotides) under uncultured bacterium. RNAcentral's name for it is "partial 16S ribosomal RNA". It matches the Rfam family "Bacterial small subunit ribosomal RNA", at positions 524 to 776 of the family's 1533-position model. The record is from RNAcentral.